This 159-nucleotide small RNA is filed under the name pig gut metagenome. Its description in RNAcentral is "M-box riboswitch (ykoK leader)". It matches the Rfam family "M-box riboswitch aptamer (ykoK leader)", at positions 11 to 159 of the family's 169-position model. Rfam says of the family: M-box riboswitch, also know as ykoK leader is described as a metaloregulatory RNA that sense divalent metals and function as a genetic control element of genes related to divalent metal transport in bacteria. It was first reported upstream of the B.subtilis ykoK gene and genes with related functions in other bacteria. Phylogenetic analysis of the distribution of M-box RNAs across bacterial genomes revealed that M-box riboswitches are most often employed for the regulation of Mg2+ transporter genes The record is from RNAcentral.
AGACUUGUUAGGUGAGGUUACUUUGCAGAUAAUGCUAUUGCCCGGAAAUGUCGAAAGACGCCAACGGGUCAGCAGGCUUUGUCGGAUUAAGGCAUUGCCUAAUAUAGCUGAUACAAACGUAUUUGUAUCUAUGCUGCAUAGAGCCAAAGCUCAACGAAU